CUUGAAGCAAAGGUUGGCGAAGUAGAUGAAGUCCUCCCUGAAGAGAAAUGCAGAAACAGCCGGAUAUAUGCUUACUGCAUCUCCUGGCAGUGAUCUGACAGAUCUAUAGUUCUUGUGGAAACUGCAAAGGAGAAGCUAUAUGUGCUUACUGCAUUUCAGGGCUCAGCCAGGAGCCAUAUCUUUCUUCAAGUUCCCUGGGGUGGCAUAUUUGUGGCGGGAGCUGAUCACAUUGCAUCAAAGAAGGCCCACCUUUUCGUAGCAGACUGUUGAUCAGAUUAUUGUAGAACUUGAUGCCUGCCGGAUUAACACCACCAAAGUGACCCUCUGUUCCGGACCAUUCAAAAGGUAUCGAUGGUAAUGGUCAACAGCCACAUCGCCAUUGCUUCCAUCCACAAUCUUUCCUGGUUUUGGAGUAGCAGCAGCAAGAUUAAGAUAGCCAACAAAUAAGUCAAGCGAGUCUGUGAUCGUCAAGCGCACGUCUAUAGCUGCACUUGCUGCCAUCAGUCAUCUACGAGUAUUAAAACAGAUAGCUACCUCCUGAAUUGAGUCUACCAACAAUGAUAUGAUCCACUGUUUUCAUUACAGAAUUGUCCUAACUA
This is a long non-coding RNA of Panicum virgatum (switchgrass), 599 nucleotides long. RefSeq lists it as uncharacterized. Lineage: Eukaryota; Viridiplantae; Streptophyta; Magnoliopsida; Poales; Poaceae. The transcript has 3 exons. The record is from RefSeq and is a predicted model, not a curated record.